AUGUAUAUAAACCUCAACAGUCGCAGCGGAAUAUAAACCAGAGUAAAUUCAAAUAUACAUGUUAUGAAUAAAUAAAUUACAUCAACAUAGAUGCAUCUCAAAAAUCCCAACAAACGGGUAAUCUCCAAACAUAACAAAACCAAAGUAAAAGAUAAUCUAGACUGACACAACUAAGCCUAGAUCAGAGCCGACUAAACAUCUAAACACCGAUAUCGGAGAAAGCUCCAGAUAUCCACCAAGCACAAGAACUCACCAAGCAACUAAACCUGCACAACGUCUACCCAUCCAUACAGAUAGGCAGGCGGUCCAUAACAGAUCCACUGGGGGUAAGUAUUACAUUAUCAUAAUCCAAAUAACAGUUAACAUGAAUAUUUCAAUUUAAACAUCAUGCACUUGAUCAAUAAUAAUAUUCCCACAUCAAUACUUACAUCAAACCCCAAUAUCUCACAUCAAUAAUCACCAAUCACAUGUGUCAUGAACAAAUAUCAAUUCACAGUUAUUCAUACACAAUCACCAAUCAUAUACAUCAUGAACAAUCACCAAUCAUAAGCCAUGAACAAUCAUUAAUCAUAUUUCAUGAACAAUCACCAAUCACAUGUAUCAUGAACAAAUAUCAAUUCACAGUUAUUCAUACACAAUCACCAAUCAUAUACAUCAUGAACAAUCACCGAUCAUAUACAUCAUGAACAAUCACCAAUCAUAUACAUCAUGAACAAUCACCGAUCAUAUACAUCAUGAACAAUCACCAAUCAAAAGUCAUGAACAAUCAUUAUCAUAAUUCAUGAACAAUUAUCAAUUCACAAAUAUUCAUUCACAAUCGUCAAUCACAAACAUCAUCAAUAAUCAUUCAUCUCAAUUCAUCACCAAUCACAUAUUUCACAUAAGACUCAUGCUAUGAUAUGCACUUAUGGACACAUAAAUGCAUGUGGUACCAAAUCUCAACAAGGUCGUCACCUCCGAUGGACAAGUCAACAUCGCAUGUAAGGCUCACCUCUGCCUUACAAUAAUCUCGAAGUAAAAGAGUCAUCCCUUUUACAGCAACAACGACUAUGAUGCAUGGACAUGUGUAAGAACUCGAUAAUGCGACAACAAUUCACAAUCUCAACUCAAUAUAUAGGACGACACCCAAUUAUAUUGAUUAUCUCCACAACAUUGCAUUAUCAAGAAAACAUGCCCACACAAAUAAAUCAUAGUAUUCACCAUCACACAUCAACAUGAUUAUCAAUAAUCAACAAUGUCAUUCAACAUCAACUAUAUCAUAUAGUUUCACCAUUCCAAACAAUUCUCAUAUCCCAAGUAAGAGAACAUACAACAUCUCAUGACAAAUAUCAUAUCCAACAUAUAACCAUUCAACAUCAACUAUCACAUAUAGUUUCACCAUUCAAGCAUUCCUUACAUUCUAAGUAAGAUAGCAUACACAUCUCAUGAUAAACAUCAUAUUCAAUACAAUCAUUCAUUCAUACAACUUCACUUAGUCAUACAAGAAUAAUCUCAAUAACUCACAAGACAAUUUGCUUAAGAAACAUUUCCAACAAAAAUCCAAAACAUGUGGCAAACGGCCAACAUUGACAAUUUUUAAAGCUAGGCAACUUAUUUAAGUUUGAAAUCCUACAAUUCAAUCUUAAUCAAUCAUGUAGUCAAGGACUUAAGCCACUUACAAACUAUUAGAAAUUAGUUCAAAGGAUAGCUCAAGUUCGUAUGAGAAAAACCAAGACAAAACGACAUUUAGCUCAAAACCCGUUUUCACCGAUUCAACUCCGCCCAAAAUAUUUCUUAAACCAU
RNAcentral lists this long non-coding RNA (1782 nucleotides) under Medicago truncatula (barrel medic). RNAcentral describes it as "long non-coding RNA (MTRU_LNC002684)". Lineage: Eukaryota; Viridiplantae; Streptophyta; Magnoliopsida; Fabales; Fabaceae. The record is from RNAcentral.